UUAUCCUCCUUUUCUGAACCCCAGGCCUGAGGCCAGGCCAGCUGGGGCCUGGCUUUCAGGAGCUGGACUUGCUCCUGUCCCCGUUGGUGCGGUCUUUGGUUCCAGGUGGGAAUCAGAUCUCUUCCUGCUCGACAGCCGCACCCUCUGGGCCUCGGAGGAGGGCUGGCUGGUGUUUGACAUCACAGCCACCAGCAACCACUGGGUGGUCAAUCCGCGGCACAACCUGGGCCUGCAGCUCUCGGUGGAGACGCUGGAUGGGCAGAGCAUCAACCCCAAGUUGGCGGGCCUGAUUGGGCGGCACGGGCCCCAGAACAAGCAGCCCUUCAUGGUGGCUUUCUUCAAGGCCACGGAGGUCCACUUCCGCAGCAUCCGGUCCACGGGGAGCAAACAGCGCAGCCAGAACCGCUCCAAGACGCCCAAGAACCAGGAAGCCCUGCGGAUGGCCAACGUGGCAGAGAACAGCAGCAGCGACCAGAGGCAGGCCUGUAAGAAGCACGAGCUGUAUGUCAGCUUCCGAGACCUGGGCUGGCAGGACUGGAUCAUCGCGCCUGAAGGCUACGCCGCCUACUACUGUGAGGGGGAGUGUGCCUUCCCUCUGAACUCCUACAUGAACGCCACCAACCACGCCAUCGUGCAGACGCUGGUCCACUUCAUCAACCCGGAAACGGUGCCCAAGCCCUGCUGUGCGCCCACACAGCUCAAUGCCAUCUCUG
Molecule: small RNA, 713 nt
Filed under: Pongo abelii (Sumatran orangutan)
Lineage: Eukaryota; Metazoa; Chordata; Mammalia; Primates; Hominidae
Description: processed transcript
Source: RNAcentral